Molecule: ribosomal RNA, 465 nt
Filed under: uncultured bacterium
Lineage: Bacteria
Description: partial 16S ribosomal RNA
Rfam family: Bacterial small subunit ribosomal RNA
Source: RNAcentral
GACGAACGCUGGCGGCGUGCUUAACACAUGCCAGUCGAACGGAAAGGCCCCUUUGGGGGUACUCGAGUGGCGAACGGGUGAGUAACACGUGAGUAACCUGCCCUUGACUUCGGGAUAACUUCAGGAAACUAGGGCUAAUACCGGAUAGGAAUCCUUGCUGCAUGGUGGGGGUUGGAAAGCUUCGGCGGUUUUGGAUGGACUCGCGGCUUAUCAGCUUGUUGGUGGGGUAGUGGCUUACCAAGGCUUUGACGGGUAGCCGGCCUGAGAGGGCGACCGGCCACAUUGGGACUGAGAUACGGCCCAGACUCCUACGGGAGGCAGCAGUGGGGAAUAUUGCACAAUGGGCGGAAGCCUGAUGCAGCAACGCCGCGUGCGGGAUGACGGCCUUCGGGUUGUAAACCGCUUUCAGCAGGGGCGAAGCUUGUGGUGACGGUACCUGCAGAAGAAGCACCGGCUAACUACGUG